RNAcentral lists this ribosomal RNA (427 nucleotides) under uncultured bacterium. RNAcentral describes it as "partial 16S ribosomal RNA". It matches the Rfam family "Bacterial small subunit ribosomal RNA", at positions 355 to 774 of the family's 1533-position model. The record is from RNAcentral.
CGGGGAAUAUUGCACAAUGGGCGCAAGCCUGAUGCAGCCAUGCCGCGUGUGUGAAGAAGGCCUUCGGGUUGUAAAGCACUUUCAGCGAGGAGGAAGGGUAGUGUGUUAAUAGCACAUUGCAUUGACGUUACUCGCAGAAGAAGCACCGGCUAACUCCGUGCCAGCAGCCGCGGUAAUACGGAGGGUGCAAGCGUUAAUCGGAAUUACUGGGCGUAAAGCGCACGCAGGCGGUUUGUUAAGUCAGAUGUGAAAUCCCCGCGCUUAACGUGGGAACUGCAUUUGAAACUGGCAAGCUAGAGUCUUGUAGAGGGGGGUAGAAUUCCAGGUGUAGCGGUGAAAUGCGUAGAGAUCUGGAGGAAUACCGGUGGCGAAGGCGGCCCCCUGGACAAAGACUGACGCUCAGGUGCGAAAGCGUGGGGAGCAAACA